RNAcentral lists this long non-coding RNA (1382 nucleotides) under Bemisia tabaci. RNAcentral's name for it is "lncRNA ENSSSA3NGG006975". Lineage: Eukaryota; Metazoa; Arthropoda; Insecta; Hemiptera; Aleyrodidae. The record is from RNAcentral.
AACACUCCUAACCAGGCUUCGUCCUUCAAAAAGCCAUCGCAUAUGAACAAGCUGUAAGUCCCACGAAAAAUAUUGUUAAGGACCCUGCUGAAUUGUCUUUAGCGGAGAGAAAAGCACUCUUUGAGAAAAAUAACAGCAAACCUAUUCUUCCUAAGGUACCUUUUGGUCAACCACUUCCCGUCAAUAAUAAGCAAACAAAUACUCACAUUAUGGAAGCCUGCGCAACUUCAACAAUGAAGGUAAAUAAUUUACCUUGGUCUCUCAAGCAAGAAGUCAUAGCAAAUUCAACAAAAAAAGGAAAUAAUUUACCUUACUCUCCAAUCAAGGACAAAUUGCCAGCAAAUAUGACUAUGGAAACUGAUGAUUUGUCUAACUCACCCAAGAAGAAUCCAGUGCACUCGGCAGAGCCUGGAAAAGUGAGCAAGCUUCAGUCCAGAUUGGCAGUUUUUGAAUCGAAAGAAAAAAUUCUCUGUGAAAAGAAAUAUGACGAUGAAAGAGGAAAAGAAUUGGAAAUGCUCUGCAAUCGAUGGGAAAAGUUUAAAUACAUCAAAGGCAGCACUGUCCAAGAGAAAGUAGUCUCACCAAGAGUGAACAAAUGUUUUGUUACAACAGUACAUCCAAAGAAACGACCAAGCUUACUCAUAAGUGACUCUCCUUCAACGCCUGAGCAGCCACCAUACUCACAGUCCCCUGUUCGCUGUCCUAUAUCGCCUGAAAAUGAGGUUAAGGAAGGAAAAGAAAUUAAACCUAGAGUUUCGAUGCCUAAUGUGUCACCGAUUGUUGUAUCACCUCCAAAACCUGGACAGCUAUAUCCAAGUCUAUCAGAUAUUGAGGCAAAGACAGGGUCUGAAGUAGCGGAUGAAAAGAAUGAUGCCUCCAUGGACAGUCAAGGGCAGAAUGAUUCUGAUUACACUGUAUCCUCCAGCGAUGGUACUUCCAGUUUUGGGCGUGAAAUUAUACACAUGGCCAGUGAAAAAAUUCUAAUAGGCUCCAAUCGUAAGAGGAGCAGUAGCAGUAGUGAUAUAUCAGGUUAUGAUCAGAAGGCUGUUAACUCCGUGGGCAACUUCCUGGAAGAAGCUUUGUCCGAUGAGUCUUCUUGUCCAUCGCCAACAAAACAACCGCGUAACGGUCAUGCGAUGGCUCAGUUGGAUUCUUCCCCAGCUUCUCACAUUAGUUUCUCAAAGGAGGAGAAAAAUCCUGUUUGCUUGCCUCUUCUUCACACUGUUAGCUUUUACCGAAAAUUGCAGAAUCAGAAUUCAGUAAGUACACCAAUAUUUUGCUCAAACAAACUCAAGUUUCAUUGGCUUCAUUGGAUAAGUUUUUCAAUGAAAACAGGAAUGAGAGCAGUUCUUUAUAUAUCUGAAUACUUAAACUUAUUAUAG